Molecule: long non-coding RNA, 1279 nt
Filed under: Calidris pugnax (ruff)
Lineage: Eukaryota; Metazoa; Chordata; Aves; Charadriiformes; Scolopacidae
Description: lncRNA (ENSCPUG00000015053.1)
Source: RNAcentral
AGCUCUUCUAUAGGCACCCUUCAGGUAUUGAAAGGCCACUAUAAGGUCUUCUCUUCUCUUCUCCAGGCUACAGGAUCUCUGUGCUGCUGCAGUGCUUUUAGUCCCAUUCCUCCAACAAGGCAAUGGAAAGCAAGAGUCAGUUGUUAACAACCGCUUAGGAAGACAAGAUGACAGGAAGAUAAAGGGAGAAUGCUCCAGGAGCUGAAAGAUGGAGGCCUUGAUCCAUUCUGAGAGCAGUGCUUUCUGCUAGAGAGGCUGAAGAUGUGUGCCGUGAGACAGAGACCUGCUGAGGCAAACUUCGAAAACAGCAAUAAUGAAGCGCCGAAGCAAGGUCUCUGCGACUGCAUCCGCGUGAACAAAUCUCCUGCCAAAUUCUCAGCACUGUUAUUAGCAAGAGCCCAAGUGGUGGAAUUCCCUGGAAAAGAAGAGAGUUUACACAGCACAGUGCAAAAACUCCCCGAGUCCUAACUACAGGGGAGCUCACCCCGUCGUUACCACUGGAUCAGCACUUAAUUAGCAGCUCAUGACUGUGCACGAUUUGUGUCCUUUAAUUUCUGUCAGCAGCAAGUCUGGGACUGAAAUGGCAGCAGAACUCUUUACAGGGUGAUUAGACAGCUCUGCAGAGAGCUGGAAGAUAGUUGCAGGGACGCUCUGUAGAUAUUUAAAGGUGCAACACAAAGGAAAAAAGAAGUAAAAUCAGGGUUUUGUUGCCACACACAUAGCUGUACCAUGCAGAGCCGGGCUGCUGGACUAUCACUAACAAGGCUGACAUGAAAGGAUGGGUGAGACUGUAAUCUUAAAAAGCCUGAGACUGAUGGUGAUUGUUGUAACUGUGUACACUGUGACAUGUUGGGCAGUACAGCCUCUGCUUCUCAAAUUGCAACAGGAAAAGCACUUGGGAAAGGGCAAAUAGUGACUGCAGCCUCACAAAGUACCUAGUGCUUUCCUCCCUGCAUUCUGGUUUUGAUUCCUUUUUUAUUUUUUUUUUUUUUCCCCUCAAAUGUGAAGUAUAAAACUAGCAGGUUUUUCAGAAGUCACGUGGCUCCUCUGGGAAAAUUAUAUUUGCAAUUCUCAACAUCAGUCACUGAAAGGUACAAAUACUCUGUCAAUCCUACCAGUGCUUUUGUAUAAAGGGAUGCUCCCUCUCCAUAUAUUCUUGUUUAUAUAGCUUCAUAAAUAUUCAAAUGCUUGGGGAAAAUGGGGUUGGAAAUGGGGGAGUACUUGUAAAGUAAAUAUAAAUUAAAAUAAACAUGAGGAAAUAGAAAGAGUUUAUAUUUAU